ACACGACUACAUUAGAUACCCCUGUAGUCCUAGCCGUAAACGAUACUCGCUAGGUGUCGGCCACGGUGCGACCGUUGUCGGUGCCGUAGGGAAGCCGUGAAGCGAGCCACCUGGGAAGUACGGCCGCAAGGCUGAAAACUUAAAGGAAUUGGCGGGGGAGCACCACAACGGGUGGAGCCUGCGGUUUAAUUGGACUCAACGCCGGGAAGCUCACCGGAUAAGACAGCGGAAUGAUUGCCGGGCUGAAGACCCUGCAUGACCAGCUG
RNAcentral lists this ribosomal RNA (266 nucleotides) under uncultured archaeon. RNAcentral's name for it is "partial 16S ribosomal RNA". It matches the Rfam family "Archaeal small subunit ribosomal RNA", at positions 717 to 982 of the family's 1478-position model. The record is from RNAcentral.